UACGUAGGAGACGAGCGUUGUCCGGAGUUACUGGGCGUAAAGGGUGCGCAGGCGGCCCUGCGCGUCGCGAGUGAAAUCUCCCGGCUCAACUGGGAGGGUGGUCGCGAGACGGCAGGGCUUGAGGCUCGGUGAGGGGCGUGGAAUUCCGGGUGGAGCGGUGAAAUGCGUAGAGAUCCGGAGGAACACCAGUGGCGAAGGCGACACGCUGGGCCGUACCUGACACUGAUGCGCGACAGCAUGGGGAGCAAACAGG
Molecule: ribosomal RNA, 253 nt
Filed under: uncultured bacterium
Lineage: Bacteria
Description: partial 16S ribosomal RNA
Rfam family: Bacterial small subunit ribosomal RNA
Source: RNAcentral